CACGUCACCCCGCGGCACCCUGACACCCGGCAACCCCGACACCCUGACACCCAGCAACCCCGGCACCCGGCAACCCCACACACAUCACCCCACGGCGCCCUGACACUCGGCACCCAGCAACCCCAACACCCUGACACCUGGCAACCCCUCACACGUCACCUCACAGGGCCCCGACACCCGGCAACCCCGCACCCGUCACCCCGCGGCAUCCAGCGCCUGGCAACCCCAGCACCCUGACACCCAGCACCCCCACGUCUGUCACCCCUCAGCGUCCGGCACCCAGCAACCCUGCACCCGUCACCCCACAGCCCGACAUCUCGACACCUGUCACCCUGCAGCACCUUGACACCCAGCACCCCAACACCCAGCAGCCCUGCGUCCAGCAACCCCAACACCCGUUAACCCCAACACCCCAUCAUCCCGACACCCUGACACCCAGCAACCCCAGCACCCGGCAGCCCCAACACCCAGCAACCCCAGCACCCCGACACCCAACAACCCCGGCACCCCAGCACCCCCGUGUCCACACCCCGCACCCACAGCAACCCCACCGCACAGGCAACCCCAGCACCCAGCAACCCCGGCACCGCAUCACCCGGGUCACCCGCACCACCCACAUCCCAACACCAGGUCACCCGCAUCACCCAGCACCUGGCAACCACAUCACCCAGGUCACCCGCACCCCAACACCCGCAUCACCCCCAACACCCAGCAACCGCAUCACCCGGCACCCAGGUCACCCAGCCCCUGGGUCACCCGCCUGCCCCGUCGCCCAUCACCCCUUCACCCCGUCACCCGCACACCCCGGGUCACCCAGCACCCCAUGCACCCUGUGUCACCCGGCACCCUGUCACCCGGGGCACCGAUGUCACCCAUCCCCGGUGUCCCCCCGCGGCACCGUCCGGGAGCGCACGCGUGAUGUGUGCAUGCCGUGUGCGAAGCGUGCGGGGAGCGCACGGGAAUCAGGCAAGAAGCGUGUGCAUGGCAUGUGCAUGGCGUGUGCGUGGUGUGUGCGUGGCGUGCAGGGAGCGUGCAAGAAGUACGUGGCAAGUAUGCAGGAAUCAGGCCAAAUGCAUGUGCAUAGCGUGUGCAUGGCAUGUGCAUGGCAUGCGAGAAGAGUGCAGGAAACGUGGGGAGCAUGCAGAGAGUGUGGGAAAAGCAUGUAGGGAGCGUGUGGGAAGCAUGUGGGAAGCAUGUGGGAAGAUGUGCAUGGCAUGUGCACAGCAUGUGCAUGGCGUGUGGGGAGCAGGCAAAAAGCAUGCGGGAAGUGUGUGGGAAGUGCAGAGAAAGCACGCAGG
This 1298-nucleotide long non-coding RNA is filed under the name Apteryx haastii (Great spotted kiwi). RNAcentral describes it as "lncRNA (ENSAHAG00000016373.1)". Lineage: Eukaryota; Metazoa; Chordata; Aves; Apterygiformes; Apterygidae. The record is from RNAcentral.